Molecule: long non-coding RNA, 1135 nt
Organism: Mauremys reevesii (Reeves's turtle)
Lineage: Eukaryota; Metazoa; Chordata; Testudines; Geoemydidae
Exons: 3
Source: RefSeq, a predicted model, not a curated record
AGAGAGAUAGGCCUGGCUGCAGGGAGCUAGAGACAAAGUACCUGAGUGAAGCAGGGCUGGGGAGCUCUAGCCUGGAAAGCCCCAGGCUGUGGCCUAGCAGAAGGCCAGAAUUUAGGUCUUGCCUCUUAACCACCAAGCCAUCUGUCAUAGAAGGAGUAAGGCCCGGAUCCUCAAAGGGGAGAAGUUGUCGCACUGACCCAAGCUCCAUCUUCAGCCAAGGACUCUUGAGAAGGAACUGAAGGGAUCGGGCCGUGCGCAUGCUGAACGAGACUCCAAUGGUGCCACGAGACAGCUACGGUGCACGCAUAGCCUGACCAGGCACUGCUUCCAAAAAUUCUGAUCAACAGCACCAGGAUGCACUGUCAUCUGAAGUGGAGCACCUAUAGGAACAGCACUCAAAGAAGAAAGGUGCCUUCCUGAUGAUUCAUGGGGCAGCACCUGAUGUGCUUUGCACCAUAUACCAGGCACAUGAAGCACCACUUAAAAAGUUAAUACAUUAUACCUGUCGAAUUUUAGGAAUCUAUAGUUUUCUGUCCGGCUUAGAGAGGCAUCAUCCCAUGUAACCAGUUUGCAUUCUAUAACACUAUAGAAAAUCCAGAGAAAUGCAUUAAGAAUUUUAGCAAUACUAUCAGACGCUCUAGAUUUUUAUCAAAACCAAAGGCUAAUCAGAUCAAAUAGACAAUAUCCUCCAGAGCUAAAAUACUUAAUUUGUUUUUGAAUUUACAACCACUCCCCUGGAAAGUUAAAGUGGAGAAGAACUAGCAGCUGCUGUCAAAUGUUCUUAAUGACCACUUUGUUUCUGCAGUGAUAAAGGUGGAGGUGGAACGGAUGCCAGAGGACAGCCAAUAUUUGUUCACAAACGUAUAUGAAGUUUGAUAAACGUACAGAGAACUGGCACAUUAGAAUUAUGGUGGACUACAUCUAUCAUCAUCCAAAAUAAGCCUAGAUUUGUCAGACACAUGCUGCUGGGCAUAGGACCUAUGGAACUCCCGUUGUUUUCAACAAGUGCUGGAUCAGACAUAUAAUGCUUACCAAUGUGACCACUCCCAUGGAAAUCAAUGGGCCUGAAUCCUCUCUCACUUAGAUCGGUUUUACACUGAUGUAUCUCCAUUGACUAACAGAAUUACUUCUGAUU